AAGGCAUCCAACCCCCCACUGGAAGCUGCAGCCAGCGUCCUCCUCGAGGCGCAGGCCAUCGACAUCCAGAUCUCGUCUCCGCUCUCCACUCACCGGCCGGCCGGCCGACUGCCGUGUGAAUGCUCUUAUUUAAAGAGCACUGCACCACAUUACGUAUCUGCAAAUGGAGUACGAAAUUAGUACUGGACACAAUGCUCUGGAGCGCAUGUUAAUUGAUGGAAGUACGGAGCCAAUGGAUCUGCCGUUAUCACUUUUAGAAGACAUCACAAAUUGUUUCUCUGACGAUCAGCAAAUCGGCAGUGGCGGGUUUGCAUUGGUCUAUAAGGUAUGGUCUAUAAGGUACACAACUCUAAUAAGCUUCCAUCUAAUCACAAUUGGUCUAAAAACUAAACUGGCAUAUGCUCACGUGACAUCAGUCACACCGCCACAAGCCCAAAAAGGUUUGCAAUGACAAUACUUGUUUGUGACCGCAAGGAAUGGUCGGAAAUGAGAUAGUUGCUGUGAAGAGGCUAUCCAGGAAUAUGCAUGAGAGUAAAUUCCACAAAGAGGUUGAGUGCUUGAUGAAGGCCAAGCACAAAAACAUAGUGCGCUUUUUAGGAUAUUGUUCUGACACGCAAGGGAAAAUUAUGGUCUAUGAGGGGAAGAUGGUCAUGGCAGAUAUACGAAAUUGGUUGCUCUGUUUUGAGUAUGUACCCAACAGCAGUCUUGAUAAGUAUAUUACUGAUGCAUCUCAUGGACUUGAUUGGAGGGAGUGUUUUCAGAUAAUUAAGGAAACAUGUGACGGUCUAUGUCAUCUUCAUGAGAAGCGCAUUUUGCACUUAGAUUUGAAACCCGCUAAUAUUCUAAUAGAUGAUCACAUGGUACCCACGUUUGUACUUCAAACCUUUGUGGAUCACUCGGAUAUUUGGCACCUGAGUUCUAUAGUGGGCAAAUCACAUUUGUAUCGGACAUAUAUAGUCUUGGCGUUAUAAUCCUGGAGAUACUGAUUGGACAAAAGGGUUACUCCGAAGAUGAGAAUGUAAGAAUACUUUAAUCAUUUUCUCCAAGUUAAAGCAUAAAAUAAUAAGUAAAAAAUAUCACCCUCUUAACAAUAUUACCCUCUAACUUGAUGAAUUAGAAAUGACAUUCCUUCCUUUUCUAGACUUGAGAGUACUGAAUGAGAAAUACUAGUCUAGAAAAGUAGAACAUAUGAAUUAGCAAUAUUACUCUACAUAAUUAAUGAACAUCUAUGAUUAGAUUGUUUAAGUUGUAUGUGAAAAAUUAGAAAUACAUACUCCCAACCGUGUGUGUCUAUAUAUCUAUAGUUUCAUCUUCUAACCACAUUUCUUUUAUUAAUUCCUCCUCAUCCUUAUAACUUUCUAAUAAUAACUUAUUAUUGAUAUCCCAUUGCUCUUCUUCACUAACAACUUCUUCUUUUUGAACAAUAUUCUUAUCUUUAUUAUUAUUAUUAUUAUUAUUAUUAUUAUUAUUAUUAUUAAUGAUAGCAUUUUAUUAAUAAUAGCAUUUGCUUUUCUUUCUGUGGAUGCUAUAAUUUUAUCUUCCAUGGUUGAACUACUAGUAGCAAACUUUUUAUCAUUUUUUAGUUUCUUUAACCUUGCAAUUUCUCUAAUUAUAAAUAGCUCUCUUUCUCUUAUUUUAGGCCAAUCAUUUGUCAUAGAAUGACUAUAUUCCAAUUCAAUAUGCUUUAGUUUCUUUUCCCAAUGAUUUAUUUCAUCAUCUAAAUUAGCAUUUUCCAUGCAUUCAGAUACACCUUUAUUUUUAUCAUCAUUAAUUUCUGAUUCUGACAUAAAAGAUUCAGAGUCUUCUAUUGAUACAGAUUUAUAAUUCAUAAAUCGAAUACUGCUACUUCCUUCACAAUUUUGAUAGCUUAUGUAGUUUUCAGGUUGCCUUAAUUCUUUUUUUUAUUAAUUCACCUAUCUUCCAUUCUUCUCUCGCUCUUUCUUCAGGGCCAAUUUUAGGAGGAUUCAUAAAUUUAAUACAUUUUGAUUGCAUACUAUCAAUUACGUCAUUCACAUUCACUCUAUAUCUGGAGCUACUUCUGUUAGUGAGCCUUCUUAUAAAUUCUAUACUUACUAACAAGUUUGUUCCUUUAAAAUCUUCGUACCCUUUAGUUUGGAAACCAAAACUCAUUUUUUUCAAUAAAUUCUUUUACAGGCAUCAAUAAAUAUAUAGGUUAUUAAUCUGUUUUUAUUCAUGUCUCCUUCGAAAAAUCAUAAUGCUGCUUUGUCUAGUGAUUCUCAUCUUCUAGCUAAUAAUGUUAUUAAAACCUUAGCACCUAGCAUCUUCCUUGUCAUACCUUUAAUUCCUACAAUAUACAUACCUUGAUGAAUAUAUUUAUAACCACAAUAUCUUAGUUCAUUUUCAAUAUUCUUGCUUACAAUUCUUAAAUCUACUGGGUGUGUUAACACACUUAAUUCUACUUCUCUGGAUAUUUUAUAUAGACCAUUUUUACUCUCAAACAUACCCAUGUGGUAUACUUGUUGCGGCUUUAUUGAGUAUCUUUCUGAUAUCUUUCUAGAUCUCUUUGUAUAUCAAUAACUUCUUCAAUGCUAUCAAUAUCAUCCGCUUUGCAUGAUAAUCUAUGCUUCAUGGCUUGUCUUGAAUCUUGCCUUACUACUUGGAGUGUUUUGUCUUUUUCAAAGGAAGCCUUUAGAUAUGACCAUUUUUCUGAAUUAAUAUUUCUAGCAGAGGCAACUAUUCCGGAUAAUGAAAGCACAAUUUCUUUGUUGCUUUGAACACUAUUUAGUUUAUCUAAAAUCUGGAUUAAUAGAUGGAGCAUGAUGUUAUUUUGUCUUAUUAUAACUUUGGAAUCUUUCUUUGGGGAAUCGUGAUCAAAGAAUCCGACAGGAGGUGACAGAUAUUUAGCUACUUCGUUUAAUGCUUGAGUAUAUUCACUCGUAUAAUUAUGAGAUAAUAAAAGUUUUAACCUUUUGCACCAACUUUUUUAUUUCAAGUAUAUCUUGUCUUGAUUCAGUGCGUGGGACUGACUCUUUGCCUUUACUUAGGUAAAGGCCUAUUGAUAACACUUCCUCUUUAAUAUAAUCGUUAUUCUUGUAAACUGUAUUUUGUCUUGCUUUUGCUUCCUCUAGCUUAUGUAAAGUUAGAUCGAUUUUAUUAUUCAACCCUGAAUACUUAUCCGCAAGUUUUUGGUAUUCUUUCAAUAAACUUUUAAAUUUUUGGUCUAAAUUAUCUUGUCUUUUUUCCCGAGAUAUGUAAAAGUUAUAUAUCAAAUCAAUGACUGUAUUUAACUGCCUAUGAGAUGUAUGCCAGAUAUGCUCUUCAGAGGGAUUUAUUCUACACCUUAUAUUUAUAUUUUUCUUAGUAUUUAUUACUUUACCUGCGCUAACUUGUAAGUUUAAAUAUUUUAACCUUUCAAUGGUUAAACACUGGACCUGAUACUAGCAAUAUAGGGAAUAAAGUUCUUUAUUCUCAGAUUCUAAUUUAUAUUAACUCAGAUUUUAAUUAGGUUAAUAUGUGAUUAGGUGAAAGUGGUAGACAACACACACUUUUUAUCUUGAAUAGUAUUUAAUAUUCACUAGAUAGGGCACUAUUCACAAAAGUGAUUUACUAUUCAAUACACUAUUUGGAACAGUAUUUCACUAUUCACAGCAAUAUUUAAUUUAAUGUGAUUACCUUCACGUUCUAAUUAUUUCUUUAAUGCAGGAUCUAUUAUGGGCUGACGAGGCCAACAAUUCGUCCGACGGUGUGCGCAGAGUUCCAUCCGAAGGGUACACUUCUCUACGGCCACAAAGUUCUCAUUCAAACGUCAUUCUGGGCUACAUAGAGAACUAUACACGCAGAGGUUUCUCCUAUAUGAUCCCUAGCAUAAGAACUCGUCCCAUAAAUUCAUAAAUAAAAAUACCAAGUGAAACCAAAAAACUUCAUCAUUUCCACAACAUAAUUUACAUAUGGCUUUCUCUUUCGGGAGGCCCCGAAGGGAUUACACAAGCUAAAGAAAAUUACCUUCUAACUACCUUCUUGAGCCUUACAAAUGCUUUAGAUAUUGUGGCUCUUAUUACAUGAUGAGGAACAACAACUACUACUACUGAGCAAUGAGCUUGCUAGCUGGGUCGUAGCUCUUGCUCUAUCGGUGGCUGUUGGUACUUCUCCGUUUGGUGUUAUGUCUCUCUUCACAACAAAUGUCUUCUUUUAUAGGCGAGAGAGCAGCUCUCUGGAUGGCUUCCGAGAGAAUGCACCUCUUUAUUUUAUAUGUAGUAGCGAUGCAUGCGUAUCCCUCUAGGUGAUGGAUAAGAGCGAGAGAUAGUGCCCCGACAAACUUCAAUCUUCAGGAAUUUAUCAAAUCUUUGCUUUGUUCACGUGGGCAUUGUCUCUCCGUGAAUAGUUGUCUCGCUUUUGUGUACCAGUCUUUGGUUUUCGGCCAUACAGAUCUUUAUGCGAUUAGCCUUCAUAGCUUCUUCUGCCUUCAAAAUCCUUGUGCCAGUGUAUGCGUACAUACAUGUCAAGGCUGCUUAAAAUUUCAACAUUGCUUAUUCAUUUAUUUUUAAUUUAAUUUAACUUGCUUAAAUAUUCAACAUUGCUUAUUCAAUUUUUUUUAAUACAUGGGGUCUUCCCCGCCGAUAUAAUUGAUAAUACCUUAUCAAUAUUUAAAAUAUCUAAUUUUGGAAUUUCUGUCAAUAUUCGGGUAUAGGUUAUCCGCGCCCGAAUAAUUGAUAGCAAUAUCAAUAUAUGCAAUUUGGGCUUUAUUCAGGCUGCUGCCCAUGCCCUGCUAUGUCCAUAUUAUCAUCAUUUAAUAGACUGAAAUCAUA
Molecule: long non-coding RNA, 4766 nt
Organism: Triticum aestivum (bread wheat)
Lineage: Eukaryota; Viridiplantae; Streptophyta; Magnoliopsida; Poales; Poaceae
Exons: 5
Source: RefSeq, a predicted model, not a curated record